AGUGAACGCUGGCGGCAGGCCUAAUACAUGCAAGUCGAACGGCAGCACAGUGGAGCUUGCUCCAUGGGUGGCGAGUGGCGGACGGGUGAGGCAUACAUGGGAAUCUGCCCAGUCGUGGGGGAUAACGUAGGGAUACUUAUGCUAAUACCGCAUGCGCCCUUCGGGGGAAAGCCGGGGACCUUCGUGCCUCGCGCGGUUGUAUGAGCCCAUGUUCGAUUAGCUAGUUGGCGGGGUAAAGGCCCACCAAGUCGACGAUCGAUAGCUGGUCUGAGAGGAUGAUCGGCGACACUGGGACUGAGACAGGGACCAGACUCCUAAGGGAGGUAGCAGUCGGGAAUAUUGGACAGUAGGCGGAAGCCUGAUACAGCCAUGGCACGUGAGUGAAGGAGGCCCUGGGGUUGUAAAGCUCUUUUGUCCGGGAGGAAAAGCAUCGGGCUAAUACCUCGGUGUUCUGACGGUACCGGAAGAAUAAGCACCGGCUAACUUCGUG
This 490-nucleotide ribosomal RNA is filed under the name uncultured bacterium. RNAcentral's name for it is "partial 16S ribosomal RNA". It matches the Rfam family "Bacterial small subunit ribosomal RNA", at positions 29 to 507 of the family's 1533-position model. The record is from RNAcentral.